GAGGGUGUAGCUCAGUGGUAGAGUGCAUGCUUAGCAUGCAUGAGGGCCUGGGUUCAAUUCCCAAUAACUCCA
RNAcentral lists this transfer RNA (72 nucleotides) under Camelus bactrianus (Bactrian camel). It matches the Rfam family "tRNA". From Rfam's summary of the family: Transfer RNA (tRNA) molecules are approximately 80 nucleotides in length. Their secondary structure includes four short double-helical elements and three loops (D, anti-codon, and T loops). Further hydrogen bonds mediate the characteristic L-shaped molecular structure. tRNAs have two regions of fundamental functional importance: the anti-codon, which is responsible for specific mRNA codon recognition, and the 3' end, to which the tRNAs corresponding amino acid is attached (by aminoacyl-tRNA synthetases). tRNAs cope with the degeneracy of the genetic code in two manners: having more than one tRNA (with a specific anti-codon) for a particular amino acid; and 'wobble' base-pairing, i.e. permitting non-standard base-pairing at the 3rd anti-codon position. The record is from Rfam by way of RNAcentral. RNAcentral also lists the same sequence under 2 other names. Lineage: Eukaryota; Metazoa; Chordata; Mammalia; Artiodactyla; Camelidae.